AUACGUAGGUGGCAAGCGUUGUCCGGAUUUAUUGGGCGUAAAGCGCGCGCAGGCGGUCUUUUAAGUCUGAUGUGAAAUCUUACAGCUUAACUGUAAGCGGUCAUUGGAAACUGGGAGACUUGAGUGCAGAAGAGGAGAGUGGAAUUCCAUGUGUAGCGGUGAAAUGCGUAGAGAUAUGGAGGAACACCAGUGGCGAAGGCGACUCUCUGGUCUGUAACUGACGCUGAGGCGCGAAAGCGUGGGGAUCAAACAGGAUUAGAUACCCUGGUAGUCCACGCCGUAAACGAUGAGUGCUAGGUGUUAGGGGUUUCGAUACCCUUAGUGCCGCAGUUAACACAUUAAGCACUCCGCCUGGGGAGUACGGCCGCAAGGCUGAA
RNAcentral lists this ribosomal RNA (377 nucleotides) under uncultured bacterium. Its description in RNAcentral is "bacterial SSU rRNA". It matches the Rfam family "Bacterial small subunit ribosomal RNA", at positions 523 to 898 of the family's 1533-position model. The record is from RNAcentral.